AAGAAGCCGGUGGUGAUGGCCUAGGCCUGUAAUUCCAGCCCCUGGUAGGCAGAGGCAGGAGGGAUCACAAGUUCAAACCCAGGCCUGACAUCUUUGCCACACCUUGUCUCAAAUCUGAAGGCAAGUAGAUCACAAGUUGAAGGCCAGCCUGGGAAACUUGGUGGCGCUCUGGAGCCUAGAGAGUCUGGCUCAAAGGCCCCAGCACAGACAGAGGCACAGGGAAGGGGUCUCAGCAGCUCAGUCCUCCCUGUACCCAGUCUCUCCUCAGAAAGGACACACGGAAAGGAAAGGCUGGCCAUUGAAUUCCUGACGUGCUGCUUGCAGGUGACUCUGAGCUCCCUGUGUCCAAAUCAUCAUUCGCUCACUAAAUAUUUCUCUCAUUUGUGCAUUGUUCCUUGCCUGUUCUCACCUCUGGAGACUGAGGGAAGUGAGAUUCUGGGAGCUCACAGUCUGAGCAGGGAGAGAUUCACCGCACAGUCACGCCCUGGACUUUGGAGCCAGCUGAGUAUACGGGAGAUGAGCACUGACGACUGAGCCCUCCCGCACAUCCUGUGCUCUGCAUCCCCCCUCCUGUUCACGCUCGGGGGAUCCUUGGCUGAGCCAUGAUGUUUGCAAUGGUUUAGCACCUGGUGACCUUUGAGGACGUGGCCGUGGACUUCACCCAGGA
This 667-nucleotide long non-coding RNA is filed under the name Fukomys damarensis (Damara mole-rat). RNAcentral's name for it is "lncRNA (ENSFDAG00000021568.1)". Lineage: Eukaryota; Metazoa; Chordata; Mammalia; Rodentia; Bathyergidae. The record is from RNAcentral.